AAAAAAAAAGAGGAAUACAUCGGAAUCUACUUUUUCGUGGGGGAUAACGUAGGGAAACUUCCGCUAAUACCGCAUACGACCUACGGGUGAAAGCAGGGGAUCUUCGUACCUUGCGCGAUUGAAUGAGCCGAUGUCGGAUUAGCUAGUUGGCGGGGUAAAGGCCCCCCAAGGCGACGAUCCGUAGCUGGUCUGAGGGGAUGAUCAGCCACACUGGAACUGAGACACGGUCCAGACUCCUACGGGAGGCAGCAGUGGGGAAUAUUGGACAAUGGGCGCAAGCCUGAUCCAGCAAUACCGCGUGGGUGAAGAAGGCCUUCUUUUUUUUUUAAUGUUACGUCGC
RNAcentral lists this ribosomal RNA (340 nucleotides) under uncultured bacterium. Its description in RNAcentral is "partial 16S ribosomal RNA". It matches the Rfam family "Bacterial small subunit ribosomal RNA", at positions 99 to 441 of the family's 1533-position model. The record is from RNAcentral.